RNAcentral lists this ribosomal RNA (466 nucleotides) under uncultured bacterium. RNAcentral describes it as "partial 16S ribosomal RNA". It matches the Rfam family "Bacterial small subunit ribosomal RNA", at positions 28 to 506 of the family's 1533-position model. The record is from RNAcentral.
GACGAACGCUGGCGGCGUGCUUAACACAUGCAAGUCGAACGGAAAGGCCCUGCUUUUGUGGGGUGCUCGAGUGGCGAACGGGUGAGUAACACGUGAGUAACCUGCCCUUGACUUUGGGAUAACUUCAGGAAACUGGGGCUAAUACCGGAUAGGAGCUCCUGCUGCAUGGUGGGGGUUGGAAAGUUUCGGCGGUUGGGGAUGGACUCGCGGCUUAUCAGCUUGUUGGUGGGGUAGUGGCUUACCAAGGCUUUGACGGGUAGCCGGCCUGAGAGGGUGACCGGCAACAUUGGGACUGGGAUACGGCCCAGACUCCUACGGGAGGAGGCAGUGGGAAUAUUGCACAAUGGGCGGAAGCCUGAUGCAGCAACGCCGCGUGCGGGAUGACGGCCUUCGGGUUGUAAACCGCUUUCGCCUGUGACGAAGCGUGAGUGACGGUAAUGGGUAAAGAAGCACCGGCUAACUACGU